This 253-nucleotide ribosomal RNA is filed under the name uncultured bacterium. RNAcentral describes it as "partial 16S ribosomal RNA". It matches the Rfam family "Bacterial small subunit ribosomal RNA", at positions 524 to 776 of the family's 1533-position model. The record is from RNAcentral.
UACGUAGGGUCCGAGCGUUGUCCGGAAUUAUUGGGCGUAAAGGGCUCGUAGGCGGUCUGUUGCGUCGGGAGUGAAAACUUACAGCUUAACUGUGAGCGUGCUUUCGAUACGGGCAGACUUGAGGCAUUCAGGGGAGAACGGAAUUCCUGGUGUAGCGGUGAAAUGCGCAGAUAUCGGGAGGAACACCAGUGGCGAAGGCGGCUUCCUGGCCUGUUCUUGACGCUGAGGCGCGAAAGCUAGGGGAGCAAACGGG